RNAcentral lists this unclassified non-coding RNA (312 nucleotides) under plant metagenome. Its description in RNAcentral is "partial contains 5.8S ribosomal RNA, internal transcribed spacer 2, and large subunit ribosomal RNA". The stretch from base 1 to 105 matches the Rfam family "5.8S ribosomal RNA", at positions 50 to 154 of the family's 154-position model. The record is from RNAcentral.
GAAAUGCGAUAAGUAAUGUGAAUUGCAGAAUUCCGUGAAUCAUCGAAUCUUUGAACGCACAUUGCGCCCUCUGGCAUUCCGGGGGGCCUGCCUGUCCGAGCGUCAUUACGCACCCUCAAGCCCGGCUUGUGUGAUGGGCCCUGGCGUCUCGUUCGCGAGACGGGCCCGAAAGGCAGCGGCGGCGUCGACCCGAUGAGCCCGAGCGUAUGGGGACUUUUGUCACACGUUUGCGGUGCGGGCCGGCGCCUGCUUGACUUUUCUGAUUAUCCAGGUUGACCUCGGAUCAGGUAGGGAUACCCGCUGAACUUAAGC